This 524-nucleotide ribosomal RNA is filed under the name uncultured soil bacterium. RNAcentral describes it as "bacterial SSU rRNA". It matches the Rfam family "Bacterial small subunit ribosomal RNA", at positions 337 to 861 of the family's 1533-position model. The record is from RNAcentral.
UCCUACGGGAGGCAGCAGUGGGGAAUAUUGCGCAAUGGCCGCAAGGCUGACGCAGCGACGCCGCGUGUGGGAUGACGGCCUUCGGGUUGUAAACCACUGUCGGGAGGGACGAAUACUAGGCUUGCCAAGGGUGACGGUACCUCCAAAGGAAGCACCGGCUAACUCCGUGCCAGCAGCCGCGGUAAUACGGAGGGUGCGAGCGUUGUCCGGAAUCACUGGGCGUAAAGGGCGCGUAGGCGGUUCGCUAAGUGGCUGGUGAAAUCCCGGGGCUCAACUCCGGGGCUGCCGGUCAGACUGGCGGACUCGAGCACGGUAGAGGCGGAUGGAAUUCCCGGUGUAGCGGUGGAAUGCGUAGAUAUCGGGAAGAAUACCGGUGGUGAAGGCGUUCCGCUGGGCCGUUGCUGACGCUGAGGCGCGACAGCGUGGGGAGCAAACAGGAUUAGAUACCCUGGUAGUCCACGCCGUAAACGAUGGGCACUAGGCGUCGGGGGGAGCGACCCUCCCGGUGCCGUCGCUAACGCAGU